RNAcentral lists this non-coding RNA (76 nucleotides) under Actinoplanes friuliensis. Its description in RNAcentral is "SAH sequence". It matches the Rfam family "SAH (S-adenosyl-L-homocysteine) riboswitch aptamer". The record is from RNAcentral. Lineage: Bacteria; Bacillati; Actinomycetota; Actinomycetes; Micromonosporales; Micromonosporaceae.
CAGGUCGAGAGGCGCUGCGACGGGCCUGACCCGCCACGCUCGACCCUGAUUCGCAGCACAAGGGCGCCUCCGAUGA